RNAcentral lists this ribosomal RNA (305 nucleotides) under uncultured bacterium. RNAcentral's name for it is "bacterial SSU rRNA". It matches the Rfam family "Bacterial small subunit ribosomal RNA", at positions 334 to 654 of the family's 1533-position model. The record is from RNAcentral.
GAGUCCUACGGGGCGCAGCAGUGGGGGAUAUUGCACAAUGGGGGAAACCCUGAUGCAGCGACGCCGCGUGGGCGAAGAAGUAUUUCGGUAUGUAAAGCCCUAUCAGCAGGGAAGAGGAAAUGACGGUACCUGAGUAAGAAGCACCGGCUAAAUACGUGCCAGCAGCCGCGGUAAUACGUAUGGUGCAAGCGUUAUCCGGAAUCACUGGGCGUAAAGGGCGCGUAGGCGGUAAUAUAAGUCAGAUGUGAAAGGUGGGGGCUCAACCCCUAGAGUGCAACUGAUACUGUAUAACUUGAGUGUGAGAG